ACAGAGGGUGCAAACGUUGUUCGGAUUUACUGGGCGUAAAGCGCGUGUAGGCGGCUUUGCAAGUCGGAUGUGAAAUCCCACGGCUCAACCGUGGAAGUGCAUCCGAAACUGCAUCGCUGGAGUCUCGGAGAGGAAGGUGGAAUGCUUGGUGUAGAGGUGAAAUUCGUAGAUAUCAAGCAGAACACCUGCGGCGAAGGCGGCCUUCUGGACGAUGACUGACGCUGAGACGCGAAAGCGUGGGGAGCAAACAGGA
This 253-nucleotide ribosomal RNA is filed under the name uncultured prokaryote. RNAcentral's name for it is "partial 16S ribosomal RNA". It matches the Rfam family "Bacterial small subunit ribosomal RNA", at positions 525 to 777 of the family's 1533-position model. The record is from RNAcentral.